UACGUAGGGUGCGAGCGUUAAUCGGAAUUACUGGGCGUAAAGCGUGCGCAGGCGGUGAUGUAAGACCGAUGUGAAAUCCCCGGGCUUAACCUGGGAACUGCAUUGGUGACUGCAUUGCUGGAGUAUGGCAGAGGGGGGUGGAAUUCCACGUGUAGCAGUGAAAUGCGUAGAGAUGUGGAGGAACACCGAUGGCGAAGGCAGCCCCCUGGGCCAAUACUUACGCUCAUGCACGAAAGCGUGGGGAGCAAACAGG
Molecule: ribosomal RNA, 253 nt
Filed under: uncultured bacterium
Lineage: Bacteria
Description: partial 16S ribosomal RNA
Rfam family: Bacterial small subunit ribosomal RNA
Source: RNAcentral